Molecule: ribosomal RNA, 949 nt
Filed under: uncultured Bacteroidota bacterium
Lineage: Bacteria; Pseudomonadati; Bacteroidota
Description: bacterial SSU rRNA
Rfam family: Bacterial small subunit ribosomal RNA
Source: RNAcentral
AGAGUUUGAUCCUGGCUCAGGAUGAACGCUAAGGCUUAAUACAUGCAAGUCGAGGGGCAGCAUGGUGUAGCAAUACACUGAUGGCGACCGGCAAACGGGUGCGGAACACGUACAGAACCUUCCUUCGAGCGGGGAAUAGCCCAGAGAAAUUUGGAUUAAUACCCCAUAGUAUAACAGAGAGGCAUCUCUUUGUUAUUAAAGAUUUAUCACUUGAAGAUGGCUGUGCGGCUGAUUAGGUAGUUGGCGGGGUAACGGCCCACCAAGCCUGCGAUCAGUAACUGGUGUGAGAGCACGACCAGUCACACGGGCACUGAGACACGGGCCCGACUCCUACGGGAGGCAGCAGUAAGGAAUAUUGGUCAAUGGACGAAAGUCUGAACCAGCCAUGCCGCGUGAAGGAUGAAGGUCCUCUGGAUUGUAAACUUCUUUUAUAUGGGACGAAAAUGGGCCUUUCUAGGUCAACUGACGGUACCAUAAGAAUAAGCACCGGCUAACUCCGUGCCAGCAGCCGCGGUAAUACGGAGGGUGCAAGCGUUAUCCGGAUUCACUGGGUUUAAAGGGUGCGUAGGUGGGUUGGUAAGUCAGUGGUGAAAUCCCCGAGCUUAACUCGGGAACUGCCAUUGAUACUAUCAGUCUUGAAUAUCGUGGAGGUCAGCGGAAUAUGUCAUGUAGCGGUGAAAUGCUUAGAUAUGACAUAGAACACCAAUUGCGAAGGCAGCUGGCUACUCGAAUAUUGACACUGAGGCACGAAAGCGUGGGGAUCAAACAGGAUUAGAUACCCUGGUAGUCCACGCCCUAAACUAUGGAUACUCGACAUAUGCGAUACACUGUAUGUGUCUGAGCGAAAGCAUUAAGUAUCCCACCUGGGAAGUACGACCGCAAGGUUGAAACUCAAAGGAAUUGACGGGUCCGCACAGCGUGAGCAUGUGUUUAUCGAUGAUACGCGAGA